RNAcentral lists this long non-coding RNA (221 nucleotides) under Lathyrus oleraceus (garden pea). Its description in RNAcentral is "Pisum sativum (pea) long non-coding RNA (PSAT_LNC011176)". Lineage: Eukaryota; Viridiplantae; Streptophyta; Magnoliopsida; Fabales; Fabaceae. The record is from RNAcentral.
AUCUCAUAUGUUUUUUUAUGUUUUAUUAUAAUGUCUUCGAUAUUAUUUUAUGCUACUAUUUAUAUAUGUUUUUUAUUCCACUUUUGUCUAAUCUAAUUUUUUGUAUAUUGAAUGAAACAUUUUUGUCUAAAUAUGAUGAGUUUUGAUGUUAUUUAGUCAUGUAUGAAUGACUAAAUACAAAGUUAUGUUGUUCUCUAUAGGUGUAUGUAUGGCACAAUAAA